GUCACCCGGGCGGUGGAAUUGGUAGACACGCAGGACUUAAAAUCCUGUUCACAGCCAUGAGAGUGUGAGUUCAACUCCCAACACGGGUACG
This 91-nucleotide transfer RNA is filed under the name Sphingobacteriaceae bacterium. RNAcentral's name for it is "tRNA-Leu". It matches the Rfam family "tRNA". Rfam says of the family: Transfer RNA (tRNA) molecules are approximately 80 nucleotides in length. Lineage: Bacteria; Pseudomonadati; Bacteroidota; Sphingobacteriia; Sphingobacteriales; Sphingobacteriaceae. The record is from RNAcentral.